Molecule: ribosomal RNA, 1500 nt
Filed under: uncultured prokaryote
Description: partial 16S ribosomal RNA
Rfam family: Bacterial small subunit ribosomal RNA
Source: RNAcentral
GAGUUUGAUCCUGGCUCAGAUUGAACGCUGGCGGCAUGCCUAACACAUGCAAGUCGAACGGAAACGAUGCUAGCUUGCUAGCAGGCGUCGAGUGGCGGACGGGUGAGUAAUGCAUAGGAAUCUGCCUUUUAGUGGGGGAUAACGUGGGGAAACCCACGCUAAUACCGCAUAAUCUCUACGGAGGAAAGUGGGGGAUCUUCGGACCUCAUGCUGAAAGAUGAGCCUAUGUCAGAUUAGCUAGUUGGUGGGGUAAAGGCCUACCAAGGCGACGAUCUGUAGCUGGUUUGAGAGAAUGAUCAGCCACACUGGAACUGAGACACGGUCCAGACUCCUACGGGAGGCAGCAGUGGGGAAUAUUGGACAAUGGGGGCAACCCUGAUCCAGCAAUGCAGCGUGUGUGAAGAAGGCCUGCGGGUUGUAAAGCACUUUCAACUGGGAGGAAAAGCUGAGCGUUAAUAGCGUUUAGUCUUGACGUUACCAUUAGAAGAAGCACCGGCUAACUCCGUGCCAGCAGCCGCGGUAAGAGGGGGGGUGCAAGCGUUAAUCGGAAUUACUGGGCGUAAAGAGCGCGUAGGUGGUUUGUUAAGUCGGAUGUGAAAGCCCUGGGCUCAACCUGGGAAUGGCAUUCGAAACUGGCUGACUAGAGUAUGGUAGAGGGAAGUGGAAUUCCGGGUGUAGCGGGGAAAUGCGUAGAUAUCCGGAGGAACAUCAGUGGCGAAGGCGACUUCCUGGACCAAUACUGACACUGAGGUGCGAAAGCGUGGGUAGCAAACAGGAUUAGAUACCCUGGUAGUCCACGCCGUAAACGAUGUCAACUAGAUGUUGGGAUAUAAAAAAGGUUAGUGUCGAAGCUAACGCGAUAAGUUCUCCGCCUGGGGAGUACGGCCGCAAGGUUAAAACUCAAAGCAAUUGACGGGGGCCCGCACAAGCGGUGGAGCAUGUGGUUUAAUUCGAUGCAACGCGAAGAACCUUACCAUCCCUUGACAUCCAGAGAAUCUGUUAGAAAUAGUAGAGUGCCUUCGGGAACUCUGAGACAGGUGCUGCAUGGCUGUCGUCAGCUCGUGUCGUGAGAUGUUGGGUUAAGUCCCGCAACGAGCGCAACCCUUAUCUUUAGUUACCAGCACUUCGGGUGGGAACUCUAAAGAGACUGCCGGUGACAAGCCGGAGGAAGGUGGGGACGACGUCAAGUCAUCAUGGCCCUUACGGGAUGGGCUACACACGUGCUACAAUGGUUGAUACAGAGGGUCGCGAAGCCGCGAGGUGGAGCUAAUCUCAGAAAGUCAAUCGUAGUCCGGAUUGGAGUCUGUAACUCGACUCCAUGAAGUCGGAAUCGCUAGUAAUCGCAGAUCAGAAUGCUGCGGUGAAUACGUUCCCGGGCCUUGUACACACCGCCCGUCACACCAUGGGAGUGGGUUGCUCCAGAAGUGGCUAGUCUAACCUUAGGGAGGACGGUCACCACGGAGUGGUUCAUGACUGGGGUGAAGUCGAAACAAGGUAACC